UGCCACAUGAGUGAGCACAUAGCAAACUUGAACUAUUCUUUUGCCUUUUAUUAAAGAAUACCAUGCGCUCGCCUCAAUUUAUGGCUUUCUCCAAUAGUUCGACAAGUUAUAAGCAUUUUU
This is a non-coding RNA of Capsicum annuum, 120 nucleotides long. Lineage: Eukaryota; Viridiplantae; Streptophyta; Magnoliopsida; Solanales; Solanaceae. The record is from Rfam.